This 635-nucleotide ribosomal RNA is filed under the name uncultured eukaryote. RNAcentral describes it as "eukaryotic LSU rRNA". The stretch from base 263 to 417 matches the Rfam family "5.8S ribosomal RNA". The record is from RNAcentral.
CCGCCUGGCCGCGGGAUUUCCGUAGGUGANACCUGCGGAAGGAUCAUUCACACGAAUCCAAAUCAACAACCCAACUUGACUGGGGUCUGUGCUACUGUGUCCCUCGGGACCUAGUGCAGAUCCUAGGCACCUUCCGUUCCUCAGCGCGGAAGCGUGGGAUUGCCUCAUGCUUCCUUGGGGAGCCCUGGCUGGUGCUCAGCAGGGUAGGAUUGUGCCGUGUUGUCGACACCAUUCAAAUUUGAUCAACGCAUAGAAAGCAUUAAACUUUCAGCGAUGGAUGCCUCGGCUUGAGCACUGAUGAAGGACGCAGCGAAAUGCGAUACGCAUUGUGAAUUGCAGAAUUCCGUGAGUCAAUAGGUAUCUGAACGCAUUCUGCGCUCUCGGGAUUCUCCCGUGAGUACAUCUGCUUCAGUGUUUCCGAUCCCUCCUGCCAGCUGCAAUGCGCGGCUGAGCGUUUCUGUGUGCUAACGGGACUACCCGCUAGCGCAUUAAAAGCUUCAUGAACCGAGCCUUGCUUUCAGGUUGGUCACCUCGUGUGUCUAUGUUUGAUAGCAGGCGCUCAGUUGUCAUGUGCCGAUCAUCGGAACUGAACCUGAAGUCAGGUGGAGCUACCCGCUGAACUUAAGCAUAUCAAU